This is a non-coding RNA of Rhizodiscina lignyota, 86 nucleotides long. NCBI's taxonomy places the organism in Eukaryota, Fungi, Ascomycota, Dothideomycetes, Aulographales, Rhizodiscinaceae. The record is from the annotation of a GenBank genome assembly.
UCCUCCGUGGCGCAAUUGGCUAGCGCGUCUGACUGUUACUCAUUGGAGUCAUCAGGAGGUUCGUGGUUCGAGCCCACGCGGGGGAG